CGCGGGGUGGAGCAGCCUGGUAGCUCGUCGGGCUCAUAACCCGAAGGUCGUCGGUUCAAAUCCGGCCCCCGCAAC
Molecule: transfer RNA, 75 nt
Filed under: Escherichia coli
Lineage: Bacteria; Pseudomonadati; Pseudomonadota; Gammaproteobacteria; Enterobacterales; Enterobacteriaceae
Also listed under: 2 other names
Description: tRNA-Met
Rfam family: tRNA
About the family: Transfer RNA (tRNA) molecules are approximately 80 nucleotides in length. Their secondary structure includes four short double-helical elements and three loops (D, anti-codon, and T loops).
Source: RNAcentral